Xiphophorus hellerii (green swordtail) is the source of this 1763-nucleotide long non-coding RNA. RefSeq lists it as uncharacterized. NCBI's taxonomy places the organism in Eukaryota, Metazoa, Chordata, Actinopteri, Cyprinodontiformes, Poeciliidae. The transcript has 7 exons. The record is from RefSeq and is a predicted model, not a curated record.
UUUAUUUCAUUUCUCUGUCAACUCAUGUCACAUGACUUGAGACUUGAGUUGACCAACAAAUAAAGAAGAAGACCUGCUCCACCAGGUAACUUACUGGUGUAACAAACUAUGGAAAAGCAUCACCAACAGCACUGGACCAAUCAGGAGAGAGAAGACACAGAGGACUUAGGAGACAGAAAAAGAUUUAACAGGGGGACACCUGAGGACGUGUGCAGAAUAGAGAGACAGAGAUCAUGUGAAGUGUUUCCUCGUCAGCCUGUAAACCUCCACCUACACACCACCAGUAAGGUGGAGGUAGAUAAGAGAACCCAGUUGACGAAAAAAUUGACCAACAAUUAAAACAGAAGACCUGCUCCACCUGCUGUUCUACUGGUUGUAACAGAUUAAGGAAAAGCGUCUCAUGUUGAAGUUCACCUGUUCCUUGGUCAGACGAUGAAUAUUAAAGAAUUUUAGAACCAUUAGAGUAAACCCAGCGCUGGUUUCUGAUCCCAGAUUCAGUUUCUGCAGAUCAAUAAUGUCCCAGCUUGGAUCUCCUGAACCUGUAAACCUCCACCUUCAACACCACCAGUCGGGUGGAGGAAGAUAAGAGAACAAAGUUGAGAAAAAAAUCAAUUCAUAACAGCAGAGCUUUGAUGAGCUUUGUGCUGAUGGAAGGAGGAUCAGGAAUAGAGCAGAGGACCUGCUGACCUACUGGUUCUAGUAGAUUCUAUAAAUGCAUGACUGAAACUAGUCAACAGCACUGGACCAAUGAGGAGAGAGGAGACACAGAGGACUGAGGAGACACAGGAAAUCCUGCUGGAAAUCCAGAGAAGUUUCCUGAUCCCAUGACGAUGAGUUGAUCAGAUACGGUGACCAACAGGUGCCAACGUGCAGCAAACAGAUUCAAGGAUGGCCUUUCAACCCUGGAUGUCAUUUAUGCUUUGGAGCUUCGUGCUUCUGUGUUCAGGCCCUUUAUGUGCACAAGUGUGGAAAAGCUGACAUCAGAAAUGUUUGAGGAAAUCUUUGAGGUUCAGCUCAGCGAAAAGGGCAGCACCAGACGACAAGAAGAAACCAGACUGCUAGGAUUCUCCUAGAGACGGACCAAACCUCGCUUUCCUGUUCAAACACUAUCAAAAUACCAAAGCCCAAGACAUACGAUCAGUUCCAAAAGAGACAUGAACUUCGGGAUACAAAACUCUUUGGACUUCAAAUACAGAAUCACAAAACUCAAAUGUGGAUGUUGGCCUGUGAAGGAAGAUGUUAACUUGUGAAACCUGCUCUGUCAAAGUUCUGACUCUGCUGCGUUGUGGUUGUUGGACACACACCUUUGAACUUUAGACUCGUUCAUUUCCGAGUCUUGUGUAGUUUUCCACAUAGGAUUCCCAAGUCAUGGAUGCACUAGGCCACUGUCUCUGGAGGUCCACAAACUGUCCCUAAAGACGGCCAUGGCCACAUUGACUGCUGCUUGACUCGGUCAUAAACUGUCCCAAUUCCUCCUGGGAGUCUGGGAACCCACAGUCUGUUCUGCCAAACCGAGGAGUAAAAUACGCACAGGACGCAUAGAUUAGUUAUAUAUUUACAUUUCUUCAUUCAACUGUCACUACCAACUGUUAUGACUAUUGUUGAAAACUGUUGUAAUGCUUGAUUGUAUUUAUGUCAUCAGAAAUUGUUACAAUAAAAGUGACAUACUAUUAUCACAUGGCUGAUUUUUUUUGUUUUGACAAAUUAUUUUUGAAAGCUGCCAAACAGGCAACAAAUUAACCAGAUGUUAAUUAAAUAAAUGA